UACAGAGGUCUCAAGCGUUGUUCGGAUUCAUUGGGCGUAAAGGGCGCGUAGGCGGCGAGGUAAGUCUGGUGUGAAAUCUAGGAGCUCAACUCCUAAACUGCACUGGAUACUGCUUUGCUUGAGGACUGGAGAGGAGAUUGGAAUUCACGGUGUAGCAGUGAAAUGCGUAGAUAUCGUGAGGAAGACCAGUGGCGAAGGCGGAUCUCUGGACAGUUCCUGACGAUGAGGCGCGAAGGCCAGGGGAGCAAACGGG
This 253-nucleotide ribosomal RNA is filed under the name uncultured bacterium. Its description in RNAcentral is "partial 16S ribosomal RNA". It matches the Rfam family "Bacterial small subunit ribosomal RNA", at positions 524 to 776 of the family's 1533-position model. The record is from RNAcentral.